UACGGAGGGGGCUAGCGUUGUUCGGAAUUACUGGGCGUAAAGGGCGCGUAGGCGGCCUCCUAAGUCGGACGUGAAAUCCCCGAGCUCAACUCGGGAACUGCGUCCGAUACUGGUUGGCUUGAAUCCGGGAGAGGGAUGCGGAAUUCCAGGUGUAGCGGUGAAAUGCGUAGAUAUCUGGAGGAACACCGGUGGCGAAGGCGGCAUCCUGGACCGGCAUUGACGCUGAGGCGCGAAAGCGUGGGGAGCAAACAGG
Molecule: ribosomal RNA, 253 nt
Filed under: uncultured bacterium
Lineage: Bacteria
Description: partial 16S ribosomal RNA
Rfam family: Bacterial small subunit ribosomal RNA
Source: RNAcentral